CCACAAGGGCAACCCCGAGACUGAGGAGAGGAAAGCUGACAGCCAGGGCCACCCCCUGGACUGGCUAAACUGGAACUUUAAAGGAAAAGAGAUGGCUGGGGCCUCACCAAUUCAGUGACUCACCGGGACACUUUGGACAGCAGAAUCCAGGCUGCCUCUCUGGACGGGGGCAAGUCAGUGGUGGGCAGACAGCAGGGGAGCAGUGCACCGUGCCAUCCUGCGGGGAGGAAAUGCAAGCGGUUCUGCACAUAAACUGGUGCCUGUGCAGACACACAUUCCAUGCCUCAGCUAUAAUUCCCCAGCCUUGCCUACAGGAAGUAAUACAAUUUGAUUGAACUACCCUGCCUCUCCAACAAUGGCUGAUGCCCACAAGUGAGACCUUUUUCGGUGCUACAGAACAAUCCCUCAAGAUGACUCAGGCAAGUGAGCCAAGGUGAAUGCUGCUGAGGAAACAGGAGAAUCCCCCAUUGGGGA
Molecule: long non-coding RNA, 474 nt
Organism: Rhineura floridana
Lineage: Eukaryota; Metazoa; Chordata; Lepidosauria; Squamata; Rhineuridae
Exons: 3
Source: RefSeq, a predicted model, not a curated record